GAGGAAAGUCCGGGCUCCAUAGGGUAAAGUGCCAGGUAACGCCUGGGAGGCGUGAGCCUACGGAAAGUGCCACAGAAAAUAUACCGCCUUAGCUGAUGCCUAGCAGCAGGUAAGGUAAGGGUGAAAUGGUGCGGUAAGAGCGCACCGCGCGAUUGGCAACAGUCGUGGCAGGGCAAACCCCACUCGGAGCAAGACCAAAUAGGAAUCCAUCCUGCCAAAAGCAGGAUCAUAUGACCCAUAUGGGAUUCGGGUAGGUCGCUUGAGGCCUAUGGUGACGUAGGUCCUAGAUGAAUGAUUGUCCAAGACAGAACCCGGCUUA
RNAcentral lists this RNase P RNA (319 nucleotides) under Legionella hackeliae. RNAcentral's name for it is "RNaseP_bact_a". It matches the Rfam family "Bacterial RNase P class A", at positions 43 to 351 of the family's 367-position model. From Rfam's summary of the family: Ribonuclease P (RNase P) is a ubiquitous endoribonuclease, found in archaea, bacteria and eukarya as well as chloroplasts and mitochondria. Its best characterised activity is the generation of mature 5'-ends of tRNAs by cleaving the 5'-leader elements of precursor-tRNAs. Cellular RNase Ps are ribonucleoproteins. The record is from RNAcentral. Lineage: Bacteria; Pseudomonadati; Pseudomonadota; Gammaproteobacteria; Legionellales; Legionellaceae.